RNAcentral lists this small nuclear RNA (72 nucleotides) under Salvator merianae (Argentine black and white tegu). Lineage: Eukaryota; Metazoa; Chordata; Lepidosauria; Squamata; Teiidae. The record is from RNAcentral.
GUACAACAGAGAUGAUUAGCAUGGCCACUGCACAAGGAUGACAUGCAAAUUUGUGAAGUGUUCCAUAUUUAA